RNAcentral lists this ribosomal RNA (497 nucleotides) under uncultured bacterium. RNAcentral's name for it is "partial 16S ribosomal RNA". It matches the Rfam family "Bacterial small subunit ribosomal RNA", at positions 27 to 507 of the family's 1533-position model. The record is from RNAcentral.
GGGGGGGGGGGGGGGGGGGGGUGGGGCGGGGGGGGCGGGCGGGGAGGCGGGGGGCGUGCUCCUCUGACGUUAGCGGCGGACGGGUGAGUAACACGUGGAUACCCUACCUAUAAGGCUGGGAUAACUUCGGGAGACCGGAGCUCAUGCCGUGUAAUAUAUUGAACCGCAUGGUUCAAUCGUGAAAGCCGGUUUUGCUUUCACUUAUAGAUGGAUCCGCGCCGCAUUAGCUAGUUGGUAAGGUAACUGCUUACCAAGGCGACGAUGCUUAGCCGACCUGAGAGGGUGAUCGGCCAAACUGGAACUGAGACACGGUCCAGACUCCUACGGGAGGCAGCAGUAGGGAAUCUUCCGCAAUGGGCGAAAGCCUGACGGAGCAACGCCGCGUGAGUGAUGAAGGUCUUCGGAUCGUAAAACUCUGUUAUCAGGGAAGAACAAAUGUGUAAGUAACUAUGCACGUCUUGACGGUACCUAAUCAGAAAGCCACGGCUAACUACGUG